RNAcentral lists this ribosomal RNA (253 nucleotides) under uncultured bacterium. Its description in RNAcentral is "partial 16S ribosomal RNA". It matches the Rfam family "Bacterial small subunit ribosomal RNA", at positions 524 to 776 of the family's 1533-position model. The record is from RNAcentral.
UACAGAGGGGGCUAGCGUUAUUCGGAAUUAUUGGGCGUAAAGGGCGCGUAGGCGGCCAUGCGUGUCUUCCGUGAAAUCCCUCGGCUUAACUGAGGACGUGCGGAAGAAACUGCAAGGCUCGAGUCCGGGAGAGGGGGGUGGAAUUCCCGGUGUAGCGGUGAAAUGCGCAGAUAUCAGGAAGAACACCCGUGGCGAAGGCGGCUCUCUGGGACGUGACUGACGCUGAGACGCGAAAGCGUGGGGAGCGAACAGG